This 253-nucleotide ribosomal RNA is filed under the name uncultured bacterium. RNAcentral's name for it is "partial 16S ribosomal RNA". It matches the Rfam family "Bacterial small subunit ribosomal RNA", at positions 524 to 776 of the family's 1533-position model. The record is from RNAcentral.
UACAGAGGUGGCAAGCGUUGUUCGGAAUUACUGGGCGUAAAGGGCUCGUAGGCGGCCAACUAAGUCAGACGUGAAAUCCCUCGGCUUAACCGGGGAACUGCGUCUGAUACUGGAUGGCUUGAGUUCGGGAGAGGGAUGUGGAAUUCCAGGUGUAGCGGUGAAAUGCGUAGAUAUCUGGAGGAACACCGGUGGCGAAGGCGGCAUCCUGGACCGACACUGACGCUGAUGAGCGAAAGCCAGGGGAGCAAACGGG